Molecule: ribosomal RNA, 465 nt
Filed under: uncultured Klebsiella sp.
Lineage: Bacteria; Pseudomonadati; Pseudomonadota; Gammaproteobacteria; Enterobacterales; Enterobacteriaceae
Description: bacterial SSU rRNA
Rfam family: Bacterial small subunit ribosomal RNA
Source: RNAcentral
CCUACGGGUGGCUGCAGUGGGGAAUAUUGCACAAUGGGCGCAAGUCUGAUGCAGCCAUGCCGCGUGUGUGAAGAAGGCCUUCGGGUUGUAAAGCACUUUCAGCGGGGAGGAAGGCGGUGAGGUUAAUAACCUCAUCGAUUGACGUUACCCGCAGAAGAAGCACCGGCUAACUCCGUGCCAGCAGCCGCGGUAAUACGGAGGGUGCAAGCGUUAAUCGGAAUUACUGGGCGUAAAGCGCACGCAGGCGGUCUGUCAAGUCGGAUGUGAAAUCCCCGGGCUCAACCUGGGAACUGCAUUCGAAACUGGCAGGCUAGAGUCUUGUAGAGGGGGGUAGAACUCCAGGUGUAGCGGUGAAAUGCGUAGAGAUCUGGAGGAAUACCGGUGGCGAAGGCGGCCCCCUGGACAAAGACUGACGCUCAGGUGCGAAAGCGUGGGGAGCAAACAGGAUUAGAUACCCCAGUAGUC